Molecule: ribosomal RNA, 446 nt
Filed under: uncultured bacterium
Lineage: Bacteria
Description: partial 16S ribosomal RNA
Rfam family: Bacterial small subunit ribosomal RNA
Source: RNAcentral
CCUACGGGUGGCAGCAGUCGAGAAUUAUUCACAAUGGGGGAAACCCUGAUGGUGCGACGCCGCGUGGGGGAAUGAAGGUCUUCGGAUUGUAAACCCCUGUCAUGUGGGAGCAAAUUAAAAAGAUAGUACCACAAGAGGAAGAGACGGCUAACUCUGUGCCAGCAGCCGCGGUAAUACAGAGGUCUCAAGCGUUGUUCGGAAUCACUGGGCGUAAGGCGUGCGUAGGCUGUUUCGUAAGUCGUGUGUGAAAGGCGCGGGCUCAACCCGCGGACGGCACAUGAUACUGCGAGACUAGAGUAAUGGAGGGGGAACCGGAAGUCGCGGUGUAGCAGUGAAAUGCGUAGAUAUCGAGAGGAACACUCGUGGCGAAGGCGGGUUCCUGGACAUUAACUGACGCUGAGGCACGAAGGCCAGGGGAGCGAAAGGGAUUAGAUACCCCAGUAGUC